This 1396-nucleotide long non-coding RNA is filed under the name Mus musculus (house mouse). Its description in RNAcentral is "long non-coding RNA chr16:43064647-43066043". Lineage: Eukaryota; Metazoa; Chordata; Mammalia; Rodentia; Muridae. The record is from RNAcentral.
GCUAUCCUUUCAAAAGUUUUUAAUUUAAAAAUUAUAUUUAUUCAUUUUUUUCUACUUGAACUCCUCCCAGAUCCUCCUUAUCUCCCUGGUUACCCAACUUCAUUUCAACCUCCAAUCAUGUUUCUUUCUCCUAACCCCCAAAAACCCAAAAUUAAAAAUUAGAACAAACCCAAAAUUAGCACACACAUACAUAUAGACACACACACACACACACCCAAAACUAAAUGAAACAAACAAACAAACAAAACCUAUAAAAUCUACAUGACUCUUGAAGUUUAUUUUUGUUGACCACGACUCCUGGGCAUAGGGCCUUCCUAUGUGGUCGGUAUUCCCAGUAGCACUACAUUGGAGAAACUUACUUUCCCUCUUCCAGAAAGCAUCAGUUACAGAUAGCUUCUUCUUUGGGUAUAGGGCCCUUAUCAACCUUGCCCUUCCAUUGCUGGACACUAUCUGCCUUGAAAUUGUCCAGGUUCCAUGCUCUCAUUGUCUCUGUGAGAUCCUGUGUGCAUCAGUCCUGUUCCUUUGGAGUCCCUCUAACACAUCAUUGUGUUCUACAUAGAUCUCUGACCCUUGUGGGGAAGCGUUUGAUAAUGACAUCCCAUAUAGUGUCCUAAACUCUCUUUCCCUGUGUACAGUGACCAGUUGUGGAUCUCUUGUUGAUACCUGUCUACUACAAGGUUCAUUAAUAAAGGUUGGACAAUAUACUGAUUGGUUGGUAUAGUAAUAUAUCAUUAGGAUCCAUUUUAUUGCUGUGUUCCUUUGCCAAACAAUAGGAUUUUUUUUUCUCUAGGCCAUAACCUAGCUAAACCCAUAUUCUUGGCACUUUAGUAGGGCCGGGUACCAUUUCAUAAAGUGGGAAUAUUUCAAAUAGUAGUUGUUUACUACCAGAAUAUUUGUGCCACUAUUAUAACCCUGAUUUAUCUUGCAGGCAGAUUGCUGUGGAGGUCACAGUGUUUGUUGCUGGGUGAUAUUUAUGGAUACUUUUCUCUUACAGGAGCUGGUAGGGUACCUUCUAGCGAUAUGAACACUAGGUAGUGGGGGUGAAGCUUCUAGGUGGAUUCUACUUCUCCUUAUUGGAUGAUGUAAGUGUGAUUCUUAGGCCCAAGAACUUACCAUCAUGUUGUGGAAAAUAGUCAAUAGCCAGUGAUGUUCAGAGAGGUCCAUGGAACAUAUUUUGGCCAACAGUUCACCAAAAUAUAACCCAUUUCUGGGACCGGAAAUUUUAUUAGGUGGUAUACAAUAUAUAGUUGGGGCAUUAGGUACCCUAUUAUAUGGUCAGACCAUUUACAUUUCUGAAAUAUUAGUACACAGUGGCAGCCUACAGAAUGGGAAACCUUUACAAAUACAUCUGAGAAGGCUUAGUAUCUAGAAUAUAUGAAGAACUAAAACAAAACAU